This 76-nucleotide transfer RNA is filed under the name Candidatus Zambryskibacteria bacterium RIFOXYC1_FULL_39_10. RNAcentral describes it as "tRNA-Arg". It matches the Rfam family "tRNA". From Rfam's summary of the family: Transfer RNA (tRNA) molecules are approximately 80 nucleotides in length. Their secondary structure includes four short double-helical elements and three loops (D, anti-codon, and T loops). Further hydrogen bonds mediate the characteristic L-shaped molecular structure. tRNAs have two regions of fundamental functional importance: the anti-codon, which is responsible for specific mRNA codon recognition, and the 3' end, to which the tRNAs corresponding amino acid is attached (by aminoacyl-tRNA synthetases). tRNAs cope with the degeneracy of the genetic code in two manners: having more than one tRNA (with a specific anti-codon) for a particular amino acid; and 'wobble' base-pairing, i.e. permitting non-standard base-pairing at the 3rd anti-codon position. The record is from RNAcentral. Lineage: Bacteria; Candidatus Zambryskiibacteriota. RNAcentral also lists the same sequence under 1 other name.
GCGCCCGUAGCUCAAUGGAUAGAGCGUUUGGCUUCGAACCAAAAGGUUGCGAGUUCGACUCUUGCCGGGCGCACUA